Molecule: non-coding RNA, 465 nt
Organism: Rhea pennata
Lineage: Eukaryota; Metazoa; Chordata; Aves; Rheiformes; Rheidae
Source: the annotation of a RefSeq genome assembly
AUGCUUGGGCCUCGUGCCACUACCAUCGCUGUAAAUACCCGCGACGAGCUCGAGCCCCUUCUCAAGUUCCGCUCAACCCCUCUGCUCUCCUCUCGCCUCUCCGCAGGGCUGCGGGCGGACGCGCAGCUGAUCGAGGACGGAGGGGGCCUCCAGCCACCCGGCGGGAGCCUCCGCCUCUCCUGCAAGGGAACCGGGUUCACCUUCAGCAGCUUCGCCAUGUUCUGGUUCCGACAAGCACCCGGCAAGGGGCUCGAGUACGUCGCAAGUAUUGAGGAUGAUGGCGGUAGCACAAGCUACGCGGAUGCGGUGAAAGGGCGCUUCACCGCCUCCAGGGACAACGCGCAGAGCACGCUCUACCUGCAGAUGAACAGCCUCAAGGUCGAGGACACCGGCACCUACUACUGCGCGAAAGCUGCUGCUAGUGGUAGUAUUUGUGGAGACCCAGUUGGCCCCUGUCAUCACUAG